GACGAACGCUGGCGGCGUGCCUAACACAUGCAAGUCGAACGGAAACGCCCUGCUUUUGUGGGGUGCUCGAGUGGCGAACGGGUGAGUAACACGUGAGUACCCUGCCCUUGACUGUGGGAUAACUUCAGGAAACUGGAGCUAUUACCGGAAAGGAUCUCCUGCUGAAUGGUGGGGGUUGGAAAGUUUCGGCGGUUGGGGAUGGACUGGCGGCUUAUGCGCUUGUUGGUGGGGUAGUGGCUUACCAAGGCUUUGCAGGGUAGCCGGCCUGAGAGGGUGAGAGGCCACACUGGGACGGAGGUGCGGCCCAGACUCGUACGGGAGGGAGCAGUGGGGAAGAUUGAACAAUGGAAGGAGCGCUUGUGCAGCAACGCCGCGGGCGGGAUGACGGCCUUGGGGUGGGAAAACGCUUUCGCCUGUGACGGGGCGUGAGUGACGGUAACGGGUAAAGAAGCACCGGCUAACUACGUG
This 468-nucleotide ribosomal RNA is filed under the name uncultured bacterium. Its description in RNAcentral is "partial 16S ribosomal RNA". It matches the Rfam family "Bacterial small subunit ribosomal RNA", at positions 28 to 507 of the family's 1533-position model. The record is from RNAcentral.